Molecule: small nuclear RNA, 104 nt
Organism: Nannospalax galili (Upper Galilee mountains blind mole rat)
Lineage: Eukaryota; Metazoa; Chordata; Mammalia; Rodentia; Spalacidae
Source: Ensembl
GUGCUCUCUUCACCAACACAUACACAAAACUGAAAAGAUAACAGAGAUUAACAUGGCCCCCAUGCAAGGAUGACAUGCAAAUUCAUGAAGCAUUCCAUACUUUU